Molecule: long non-coding RNA, 879 nt
Organism: Pomacea canaliculata
Lineage: Eukaryota; Metazoa; Mollusca; Gastropoda; Architaenioglossa; Ampullariidae
Exons: 4
Source: RefSeq, a predicted model, not a curated record
AAUUGAUGGUUUUUGCCGAUGUCGAUGAAGGCCGGUAGCCCACGUAGAUCUGUUAAUAAUAAAUUAUGAAUUUUCUUGGAUUAUUGUUGUCACAGCACUGAAAGUAUGCAAUAUACAGUACUUUUAUUACAAAAGUUUAAGUUCGCUCCCUUCAAAAAAUGUAUAGGUUUCGUGCUCUAAUGUUUACCUGAGAGCAGCAAUGACAAAAACAAACAUCACCAAUGACGUCAUAAGAAACACGUCAUUGUUUUAUGACGUAAUUAUAUUUUUAUGUCUUUAAUGGUGUCUACUUCCUGUUAGAGCUAGUGCACCGUCAGAUAAUUUUUCAGAAAUGUCUGUAAAGAGGACGCCAUAAGAGCUAUACACAAGCCUGUGACCACAUCACCAGACCAGGUCGUAUGUUGUGUGUUGGGAGCCUGCAGCUUGGGGCAUCGUGACUCUCAAACACGUGUAGUCGUCUUCGUCUCCCGAAGAAGUACAACUACUAUCAUCUGCAGUAUCGUGGUCUGGCGACAUUAAAGAUGUGUUUUCUCUAGUCUUAGCUUCACUGACAACACCAAGAUGGCAGCACACGCCGGCAUCCGAAUCUUCUUUCUUAGGAAGGACAUCAGGAGAGAAGACCACAGCAAGGCUGAGGAUCACUCCAAGAAAGAAUGCCACAACAGCGCAGACAAUGCCAAUUAUUACACAAGUCCGACUGGUGGCCGCUGUUCCCACUGGCCAAAAAGAUGGAAGGGAGUGUUUACCCAGCGUGCCAGCUGCUGCAGUCAGUACAGUGGUAUUCGGUGUACUCGGUGUACUCGGUGUACUCGUUGAACUCGAUGUACUCGGAGUACCCGGGGUGCUUCUUGAGACAAAGGAGCCCUUCCUACAGUCACA